CUAUCCUUGGAAUGAAUUGGACUUUAUUUGCGCAGUAUAGGUGGGAGGCGUUGAAAUAUUCUUGCGGGAAUAUUGGAGCCAUCAGUGAGAUACCACUCUUGUAAUGUUAGAUUUCUAACUUUGUAUCAUUAUCUGGUCAAAGGACAGUUUCAGGCGGGCAGUUUGACUGGGGCGGUCGCCUCCCAAACGGUAACGGAGGCGCACAAAGGUUUCCUCUGAACGGGUAGAAAUCGUAUCUAGAGUGUAAAGGCAUAAGGAAGCUUGACUGUGAGACCUACAAGUCGAGCAGGGACGAAAGUCGGUCUUAGUGAUCUGACGGUGCUGAGUGGAAAGGCCGUCACUCAACGGAUAAAAGUUACUCUAGGGAAACAGGCUGAA
RNAcentral lists this ribosomal RNA (378 nucleotides) under uncultured organism. RNAcentral describes it as "bacterial LSU rRNA". It matches the Rfam family "Bacterial large subunit ribosomal RNA", at positions 2106 to 2486 of the family's 2925-position model. The record is from RNAcentral.